AUUGAACGCUGGCGGAAUGCUUUACACAUGCAAGUCGAGCGGCAGCGCGGGGCAACCUGGCGGCGAGCGGCGAACGGGUGAGUAAUGCAUCGGAACAUGUCCAUGUCGUGGGGGAUAGCCCGGCGAAAGCCGGAUUAAUACCGCAUACGCUCGAGAGAGGAAAGCCGGGGACCGCAAGGCCUGGCGCGAUUGGGUUGGCCGAUGUCCGAUUAGCUAGUUGGUGAGGUAAAGGCUUACCAAGGCGAUGAUCGGUAGCUGGUCUGAGAGGAUGAUCAGCCACACUGGGACUGAGACACGGCCCAGACUCCUACGGGAGGCAGCAGUGGGGAAUUUUGGACAAUGGGGGCAACCCUGAUCCAGCCAUUCCGCGUGAGUGAAGAAGGCCUUCGGGUUGUAAAGCUCUUUUGUCCGGAGCGAAACGGGUGCGGCUAAUACCUGCGCCUACUGACGGUACCGGAAGAAUAAGCACCGGCUAACUACGUGCCAGCAGCCGCGGUAAUACGUAGGGUGCGAGCGUUAAUCGGAAUUACUGGGCGUAAAGCGUGCGCAGGCGGUUUUGUAAGCCAGUCGUGAAAUCCCCGGGCUUAACCUGGGAAUGGCGAUUGGGACUGCAAGGCUGGAGUAUGGCAGAGG
Molecule: ribosomal RNA, 633 nt
Filed under: uncultured bacterium
Lineage: Bacteria
Description: bacterial SSU rRNA
Rfam family: Bacterial small subunit ribosomal RNA
Source: RNAcentral